ACUUCUGGUUUUUUGCUAGUUAAUUGGAGAUAAAAGUCUUCUGGAUUUGUCUGUAUGAGGUAGAUUCUACCCUAGUCAGAUCUCAGCCUUAUGAGUAUCUACAAUUACAGGUGUUAGUCACUGCAGCCCUGACUUUCAAAAAGAUUUUUAUGCUUCAGCAGAGUACUUACAAACAUGUAUUAUCACACCAAGUUAAUUUACUACUUCUUCUGAGUUUCUUCAUAUAAUCUAAAUCUAAUCUUCUAAUAGAAAAUCUUAUCCAAUAAAAUGUAUUAAUGUGUGUGUGUCUGUACUGGGGGGGGGGGGGGGGGCGGGUGUUGAUCCUGGGGCUUGAACUCAGGGCCUG
Long non-coding RNA from Perognathus longimembris pacificus (Pacific pocket mouse), 346 nucleotides. RefSeq lists it as uncharacterized. NCBI's taxonomy places the organism in Eukaryota, Metazoa, Chordata, Mammalia, Rodentia, Heteromyidae. The record is from RefSeq and is a predicted model, not a curated record. The transcript has 3 exons.